RNAcentral lists this transfer RNA (73 nucleotides) under Perca fluviatilis (European perch). It matches the Rfam family "tRNA". Rfam says of the family: Transfer RNA (tRNA) molecules are approximately 80 nucleotides in length. Their secondary structure includes four short double-helical elements and three loops (D, anti-codon, and T loops). The record is from Rfam by way of RNAcentral. Lineage: Eukaryota; Metazoa; Chordata; Actinopteri; Perciformes; Percidae.
GCCGAAAUAGCUCAGUUGGGAGAGCGUUGGACUGAAGAUCUGAAGGUCCCUGGUUCGAUCCAGGGUUUCGGCA